CGAGAAGCUUUUUAAUGAUCCUUCGGGUGAACUAAGAAGUGGAAAGUGGCGAACGGGUGAGUAACGCGUGGGUAACCUGCCUCAUGGAAAGGAAUAGCCUCGGGAAACUGGGAGUAAAGCCUUAUAUUAUUGAGUUGUCGCAUGGCAAUUCGAUGAAAACUCCGGUGCCAUGAGAUGGACCCGCGUCCCAUUAGCUAGUUGGUGAGAUAACAGCCCACCAGGGCAACGAUGGGUAACCGGUCUGAGAGGGCGAACGGUCACACUGGAACUGAGACACGGUCCAGACUCCUACGGGAGGCAGCAGUGGGGAAUAUUGCGCAAUGGGGGAAACCCUGACGCAGCAAUACCGCGUGAGUGAAGAAGGUUUUCGGAUCGUAAAACUCUUUUAUUGGGGAAGAAGAAGUGACGGUACCCAAUGAAGAAGUCCCGGCUAACUACGUGCCAGCAGCCGCGGUAAUACGUAGGGGACAAGCGUUGUCCGGAAUCACUGGGCGUAAAGGGCGCGUAGGCGGUUUUAUAAGUCAGAUGUGAAAGGUACCGGCUCAACCGGUGACGUGCAUUUGAAACUGUAAGACUUGAGUACUGGAGAGGCAAGUGGAAUUCCUAGUGUAGCGGUGAAAUGCGUAGAUAUUAGGAGGAACACCGGUGGCGAAGGCGGCUUGCUGGACAGAUACUGACGCUGAGGUGCGAAAGCGUGGGGAGCGAACAGGAUUAGAUACCCUGGUAGUCCACGCCGUAAACGAUGAUGACUAGGUGUUGGGGAAACUCAGUGCCGCAGUUAACACAUUAAGUCAUCCGCCU
This 801-nucleotide ribosomal RNA is filed under the name uncultured bacterium. RNAcentral describes it as "bacterial SSU rRNA". It matches the Rfam family "Bacterial small subunit ribosomal RNA", at positions 67 to 874 of the family's 1533-position model. The record is from RNAcentral.